RNAcentral lists this ribosomal RNA (460 nucleotides) under uncultured bacterium. RNAcentral's name for it is "partial 16S ribosomal RNA". It matches the Rfam family "Bacterial small subunit ribosomal RNA", at positions 338 to 795 of the family's 1533-position model. The record is from RNAcentral.
CCUACGGGAGGCAGCAGGGAGGAAUAUUGGUCAAUGGGCGCGAGCCUGAACCAGCCAAGUCGCGGGAGGGAGGACGGCCCUACGGGUUGUAAACCUCUUUUGCCGGGGAGCAACGGGCGUCACGUGUGGCGCCACUGAGAGUACCCGGAGAAAAAGCAUCGGCGAAAUCCGUGCCAGCAGCCGCGGUAAUACGGAGGAUGCGAGCGUUAUCCGGGUUUAGUGGGUUUAAGGGGUUCGUAGGCGGAUCGUAAAGUCAGUGGUCAAAUUGAGGGGCUCCACCCCUUCCCGCCAUUGAAACUGGCGCUCUUGAGGGGAAGAGAAGUAUGCGGAAUGCGUGGUGUAGCGGUGAAAUGCAUAGAUAUCACGCAGAACCCCGAUUGCGAAGGCAGCAUGCCGGCUUCCGACUGACGCUGAAGCACGAAAGCGUGGGGAUCGAACAGGAUUAGAUACCCGUGUAGUC